This 60-nucleotide transfer RNA is filed under the name Pseudocrangonyx joolaei. RNAcentral describes it as "tRNA-Asp". Lineage: Eukaryota; Metazoa; Arthropoda; Malacostraca; Amphipoda; Pseudocrangonyctidae. The record is from RNAcentral.
AAGAUAUUAGUUAAAUAAUAACCUUAGCUUGUCAGACUAAAAUUACAUCAGUAUAUCUUA